UACGGAGGGUGCAAGCGUUAUCCGGAUUCACUGGGUUUAAAGGGUGCGUAGGAGGGCAGGUAAGUCAGUGGUGAAAUCUCCAAGCUUAACUUGGAAACUGCCGUUGAUACUAUCUGUCUUGAAUAUUGUGGAGGUGAGCGGAAUAUGUCAUGUAGCGGUGAAAUGCUUAGAUAUCGGGAGGAACACCAGUGGCGAAGGCGAGUCCCUGGACAAUUCCUGACGCUGAGGCACGAAAGCUAGGGGAGCAAACAGG
This 253-nucleotide ribosomal RNA is filed under the name uncultured bacterium. Its description in RNAcentral is "partial 16S ribosomal RNA". It matches the Rfam family "Bacterial small subunit ribosomal RNA", at positions 524 to 776 of the family's 1533-position model. The record is from RNAcentral.